UUUUAUCUCCAUCGUCCCUCAAACAAGAUCCAAUGGCCUGGAACUAGCCUUUUGUUCCCAUAAAAGUAUCCUAAAUAGCCUACCCCACCCCAAGAGACCCCGCUCAGACUCCUCCUCACCCUCACUGUUGUCCACCGCUCGCUGCCCGCCAAAAAUCGUCCACGGCGGCGGUACCACUCCAAACCACCCCAAAUUGUCACCCUACAAUCCCUAGCCCUUCAUCUGUCUAAAUCCACUACUCGUUUCUCUCAAAUUCCACCCAAAUUCCACGAUUAGUAGAUCUAGGUAUUAAAACCAAAUUUGUCCCUUUUUCAAUUUCUCAGCCUUUUUUAAUUCGUUUUGACUUGAAACUUACGUUGAUCGAUUGCUCUUGACGAGAGCAAUUGAUUGGCGUUAGUUUUAGCUCACUUCCAGGUCACCAGAGAUCGGUCAAAUCUCGUUGACCGGCCAGAAUUCACUCUUCUCCAUUGCUCGCCGGAGUCUUUUCACCAUUGGAUUUCAACUCACUCACCGGAUUUGUUUAUGUUGACUGGUAUACUACUUUUUCCAUUUUCUCUAAUUUUGUCUAAUGACCACAUAUUGACAUUUAUAUUUAAGUAGGUUUAAUUAAUAGUUUGGAUUAAUUGGUGAUUAGUUGUUUGAUUUUAGUUUAGUUGCAUAUUUGGUCAAUUGCUUUAUAAUUAAUUAAGUUUUGAUUGCAUAUGAGAUUGUUUGUUUGCAGUAGAUUAUUGAUCUGUUCUAGUUCAUUUGGGCAAAAGAAUUGGCCUGCCAUUUUUUAACAGGCCGGCCAGUUAAGUGGGAGUUUAGGUAUGAGCCUGUUAGUCAGAGGUAAAUAUAAGGAUAAAAAGAUAAAAUUAGGGAAUUACUUGAAGUAAUUUUUAGCUUAAUCGGUGGAGAAGCUUCUAGAAGAGAGUAAAAAGGACCUGUUAGCAAUAAAAAGCUGGAGAGGUCGGGGGUGAGGGAGAAAAAUAGCAGAAAUUAGGAGGGGUAAAAGAAAAGGGAGCAAACUAAAAGAUGCUGAAAUUUAUUCUAUAUAACAGACUGCUCACAUUCACUAUGAUAUUCACACCCAUUCACUCUCAUACAUUCUCACUCACGCACUUCUUACCAAAGAGAGAUGAAAACAGGUUUUGAAAUUCAAAAUUCCCUUUCUGAGAUUUGAAAUUUCCAGCUUUAAAAACUGAGAGGAAAAACACAAAAACAAUAAAAGUUUAGGCUGAUUUUCAUACUCAAAAAUGAUUAACUGCUAUUGAUUGAUUCAAGAAGGUCUUCUAUACUAUUUUCCUAGAUUUUCAUGUAGUUUUUAGUCCAUAUUUGAAGUUGUGUUGUGUUCUGCUUAGUUGAGUCCUGUCCUUUUAUCUCUCGCUUUUAUUGGGCUAAUUGUAGCCUGGUUUAUUACUAUCCAGGUACUUCUUUCAGUCUCAGAUCAUGUACUUGCCAAUGUGGAUGCCAUGACGUUAUAA
This 1463-nucleotide long non-coding RNA is filed under the name Nicotiana tabacum (common tobacco). Its description in RNAcentral is "long non-coding RNA (NTAB_LNC006795)". Lineage: Eukaryota; Viridiplantae; Streptophyta; Magnoliopsida; Solanales; Solanaceae. The record is from RNAcentral.